CCUACGGGAGGCAGCAGUGGGGAAUAUUGCACAAUGGGGGAAACCCUGAUGCAGCGACGCCGCGUGAGUGAAGAAGUAUUUCGGUAUGUAAAGCUCUAUCAGCCGGGAAGAAAAUGACGGUACCUGACUAAGAAGCCCCGGCUAACUACGUGCCCGCAGCCGCGGUCAUACGUAGGGGGCAAGCGUUAUCCGGAUUUACUGGGUGUAAGGGGAGCGUAGACGGCCAGACAAGUCGGAAGGGAAAGCCCAGGGCGCAACCCUGGGACUGCCUUUGAAACUGCCGGGCUGGAGUGCAGGAGAGGUAAGCGGAAUGCCUAGUGUAGCGGUGAAAUGCGUAGAUAUUAGGAGGAACACCAGUGGCGAAGGCGGCUUACUGGACUGUAACUGACGUUGAGGCUCGAAAGCGUGGGGAGCAAACAGGAUUAGAUACCCGAGUAGUC
This 440-nucleotide ribosomal RNA is filed under the name uncultured bacterium. RNAcentral describes it as "partial 16S ribosomal RNA". It matches the Rfam family "Bacterial small subunit ribosomal RNA", at positions 338 to 795 of the family's 1533-position model. The record is from RNAcentral.